AGUUCUUUUCUCCGUCGUGUAAUAAGUAGGCCGAUUCCUUAAUGCGUGACCAUGGGGGAGAUCAUUAAAGCUGAGCCUGAUCAAUUUGCAAUGGAAGGAGUUGAUGACACAUUUUGAAAGUCGAAGGCCUACAAAAUUAACCUAAGCGAGUGUUACGUCCUUGUAUAUGUUUAAAUGUGAAGGGCACCACCGUAGGUAUCAAAUGAGAGUGGAUGGUUGGCAUGGUUACCCGCCCCGACUGCAAGUAAAAUCCAUUAUCCUAUAACGGACGGAUAGAAAUAGAUUUCUUAACUUAGGACUGACGGCUCAAGGUCAAAUUCGAGUAACCUCCGAAUGAAGAUUAGGUCAGAUCACGGAAAUAAAAACAACCACGUCAUCAAAGAGAACGAAGGUCUGAUGAAGCAAGGAAACGCUUGCCAAAACAGAUCAUCUUUCAGGAAGAUGGAGAAAACUAUCAAUCGAAUCAGGAAACAUCCCACUCCGUACCCCCCCCCCACUGUGCACCGAUGUGUUGGUUCAGUUAGUUGAGCGACAGUCUCACAACCGGAAGGUCGGAGGUUCAAACCCCGGCCGCGUCAGACCAAUAGACGUUAAAAGAAGGGAGUUGCUGCUACCCUGUUUGGCGUUCAAUG
Lytechinus variegatus (green sea urchin) is the source of this 632-nucleotide long non-coding RNA. RefSeq lists it as uncharacterized. The record is from RefSeq and is a predicted model, not a curated record. The transcript has 3 exons. Lineage: Eukaryota; Metazoa; Echinodermata; Echinoidea; Temnopleuroida; Toxopneustidae.